Molecule: long non-coding RNA, 1706 nt
Organism: Carassius gibelio (silver crucian carp)
Lineage: Eukaryota; Metazoa; Chordata; Actinopteri; Cypriniformes; Cyprinidae
Exons: 2
Source: RefSeq, a predicted model, not a curated record
CUGUAUUUUAGUUUGGGACUAGUCCUGUCUGUGAAACCAGGAGAUAGCCUCUUUACUCCUUUAUCUUAUAUAUUGUUUUCUAAUAUUCUCUCCGUUGUCUCUCCACACAAGCGUCCUUCUCGACUACAACAUCUCGUUCUGACAUCUCGCGUGGUUCUGUGAGAUGUGGGCAGCUUCAUGUUAUUUCUCUCUCUUGCAGUCUGGAGAGGAGGAGCUCCUUUGUGUUAAAACCGAAAGUAAACUGGAGAGUAAAGGCGUAUUCUGAAGAGUUAAACUCCUUCUGUUCAGAUCUCAGAGUUGACGGAGAGAGAUGUUGAAAGAAGAACUCAGAAGAACAGAGAACACAGAACACGUCUUUCUGAGAUCUGAUCUUGACACACCCAGAGCACGACACGGCCUUCUAAAGUACAGCUUUAUUCUUCCUGUUUAACAUUUAUCAGACUGCUAUAUUGAUUCUGUAAACCCUGUACAAUGUGUUUUUCUUAGCGCAGGAGUAGCGUAUGGUUUGAAUAUUCAUGAUCAUGCCUUCUACUUUUUAUUACUGUGAAUGUGCAGCUAAGAGAAAGGAAUGAGGACAUUAGCCGUGUUUCCGCCGCAGGAACUUUAUCCAGGAACUAGGGACUCUGUGCUGGGACUCGGUGUGUUUCCACCACAGGAACCAGGAACUAAAUAAAUCACCCUCAGAAAGUCUUUUAGAAAGUUUUUAAAUUGCCUGACAAACAUCCAAAAUACCAAAUAAAAUACAGAGAAAAACACUUCUUAAUUCAAAGAAAUCCAAAUAGCAGCAUAACAAAAAAUACAGAGAUAAACAAACAGGAAAAGUAAGAAAGAAAAUAACUAAAUAAAUAAAUACAAACAUAAAUACUACUACAAAGGACUUAAUCAUCAAAAAAAAAAAAAAAAAAAAACCUUCAAAAGGCUACAUAGUUUAAGGGCUUUUUUGUGAUACAUGUGCUUUAGGGAAAUGAAGAAGACCAUUAAAUCUUGCUGGAAAAGUAAAAAAAGGUUUAUUAAAGAAUCAAGAUUUAUGAAUUAAUUGGCCAAAAUCACAGUAUUAUUAAUAAAAAAUUCAACAUCACAAUUUCGACAAAAGGACAAAUAUUUUACAGUUCUGAAAUCAAAGUCAGGUAUUACAUACUUCAAAUAUAAAUGUAAAAAGGUCAUCCCAGAAUUAUUCUGACAAUUUGCAUAAAUAAAACAAAUGUUCCGAUGUCUCUGUCUGCUCCACAAAAGGUGCAUUCAUUACAAUCCAAAUUAAACCUGUGUCUGAGAAACUCAUUACAGGGAUAAAUAAAAAUUAUUUUAAACUGAACUUCUUUUUGCUUUUGGUAAAAGUGGAAAAGAGAGAAAUCUUGUUCUAAUUUGAACCAAUUUAUCUUCAGGAAAAUCAAAAACAAGUAGUCUCUUCUUUACUUUAAUUAAUUUACAUUAUAAUAAUACCUGACUGUGAAAAGAUGAUCAUUUACACUUUAACUUUGAUGGCUCAAAAUCACAUCUUAAGAGGAAAUCAGUGCCCCCAAAAGAAUAAACCCAACUGAAUGUUUAAGGAAGGCUUGGAGCCUCCUCAGUUUAAGAGGAUCAUUCAUCACAUCCAAAUCAAUCUCGUUCAACCCUCCCUCACUGAUCGCUUCACUGCAUCUGAUUUUCUGAUAUAGUUCUGCUGGUUUUUCCAAAUAAAUUUAUACUGAAUUUGAUUAACUAAAAAA